UACGUAGGGGGCAAGCGUUGUCCGGAAUUAUUGGGCGUAAAGCGCGCGCAGGCGGCUAUGUAAGUCUGGUGUAUAACCUCGGGGCUCAACCCCGGGUCGCACUGGAAACUGUGUAGCUUGAGUGCAGAAGAGGAGAGUGGAAUUCCACGUGUAGCGGUGAAAUGCGUAGAUAUGUGGAGGAACACCAGUGGCGAAGGCGACUCUCUGGGCUGUAACUGACGCUGAGGCGCGAAAGCGUGGGGAGCAAACAGG
RNAcentral lists this ribosomal RNA (252 nucleotides) under uncultured bacterium. RNAcentral's name for it is "partial 16S ribosomal RNA". It matches the Rfam family "Bacterial small subunit ribosomal RNA", at positions 524 to 776 of the family's 1533-position model. The record is from RNAcentral.